Molecule: ribosomal RNA, 492 nt
Filed under: uncultured bacterium
Lineage: Bacteria
Description: bacterial SSU rRNA
Rfam family: Bacterial small subunit ribosomal RNA
Source: RNAcentral
GAUGAACGCUAGCUACAGGCUUAACACAUGCAAGUCGAGGGGAAACGAUAUUGGAAGCUUGCUUCCGAUAGGCGUCGACCGGCGCACGGGUGAGUAACGCGUAUCCAACCUGCCCAUCACUUGGGGAUAACCUUGCGAAAGUAAGACUAAUACCCAAUGACGUCUCUAGAAGACAUCUGAAGGAGAUUAAAGAUUUAUCGGUGAUGGAUGGGGAUGCGUCUGAUUAGCUUGUUGGCGGGGUAACGGCCCACCAAGGCGACGAUGGGUAGGGGUUCUGAGAGGAAGGUCCCCCACAUUGGAACUGAGACACGGUCCAAACUCCUACGGGAGGCAGCAGUGAGGAAUAUUGGUCAAUGGGCGCGAGCCUGAACCAGCCAAGUAGCGUGGAGGACGACGGCCCUACGGGUUGUAAACUCCUUUUAUAAGGGGAUAAAGUUGGCCAUGUAUGGCCAUUUGCAGGUACCUUAUGAAUAAGCAUCGGCUAAUUCCGUG